Molecule: ribosomal RNA, 406 nt
Filed under: uncultured bacterium
Lineage: Bacteria
Description: partial 16S ribosomal RNA
Rfam family: Bacterial small subunit ribosomal RNA
Source: RNAcentral
AUUGAACGCUGGCGGCAGGCCUAACACAUGCAAGUCGAACGAGUGGCGGACGGGUGAGUAAUGUCUGGGAAACUGCCUGAUGGAGGGGGAUAACUACUGGACACGGUAGCUAAUACCGCAUACCAUCAGAUGUGCCCAUAUGGGAUUAGCCUGUUGGUGGGGUAACGGCUCACCAAGGCCACGAUCCAUAGAUGGUCUGGGAGGAUGACCAGCCACACUGGGACUGAGACAGGGACGCGACUUGUACGGGAGGCAGCAAUGGGGAAUAUUGAGCAAUAGGCGCAAGCCUGAUGCAGCCAUGCCGCGUGUAUGAAGAAGGCCUUCGGGGUGUAAUGUACUUUCAGCGGGGAGGCGUUACCCGCAGAAGAAGCACCGGCUAACUCCGUGCCAGCAGCCGCGGUAAUUC